GCAGCUCGGCUCCACCCGGACUCCUACGGGAGCCGGGCUCCGCCUUCAGUAUCAGCUGCUGGUAAGCUCCGUCUGGACUCCUAUGGGAGCCAGACUUCAUCUUUAACUUUGAUUGCAGAGUGCUCCGCCCGGGCUCCUACGGGAGCCGGGUUCCAUUUUCAGUAUCCACUGCAGGUAAGCUCCGUCCGGACUCCUACGGGAGCCGGACUCCACCUACGACCCCAACCGAAAGGAGGACCCUUCCCGAACUUCUACAGAGGCCGGACUCC
RNAcentral lists this long non-coding RNA (269 nucleotides) under Elaeis guineensis (African oil palm). RNAcentral's name for it is "long non-coding RNA (EGUI_LNC006081)". The record is from RNAcentral. Lineage: Eukaryota; Viridiplantae; Streptophyta; Magnoliopsida; Arecales; Arecaceae.